This 405-nucleotide ribosomal RNA is filed under the name uncultured bacterium. RNAcentral describes it as "bacterial SSU rRNA". It matches the Rfam family "Bacterial small subunit ribosomal RNA", at positions 30 to 440 of the family's 1533-position model. The record is from RNAcentral.
AUUGAACGCUGGCGGAAUGCUUUACACAUGCAAGUCGAACGGCAGCACGGGGCAACCUGGUGGCGAGUGGCGAACGGUGAGUAAUAUAUCGGAACGUGCCCCAAUCGUGGGGGAUAACGUAGCGAAAGUUACGCUAAUACCGCAUACGAUCUACGGAUGAAAGCGGGGGAUCGCAAGACCUCGCGCGAAUGGAGCGGCCGAUAUCAGAUUAGGUAGUUGGUGGGUAAAGGCUCACCAAGCCAACGAUCUGUAGCUGGUCUGAGAGGACGACCAGCCACACUGGAACUGAGACACGGUCCAGACUCCUACGGGAGGCAGCAGUGGGGAAUUUUGGACAAUGGGCGCAAGCCUGAUCCAGCCAUUCCGCGUGCAGGAUGAAGGCCUUCGGUUGUAACUGCUUUGUAC